RNAcentral lists this long non-coding RNA (3980 nucleotides) under Anas zonorhyncha (Eastern spot-billed duck). RNAcentral describes it as "lncRNA (ENSAZOG00000013676.1)". Lineage: Eukaryota; Metazoa; Chordata; Aves; Anseriformes; Anatidae. The record is from RNAcentral.
GAUUUCUGGAAGAACUCUACAACUCAAAGCAAAUGAGUUAUAAAGUACGUAUAUGGUUUAUUUCAGCGCUGGGCACAUGGCAGGAUAGCUCCCAAAGGCAUGUGCGCCCCAACAUGGCAACUUGCCUUGGUUCUAUGCAGUAAAGAGUUACAUAUGCAUGAAGUUUCCCAAUAUGCCUAUGCAUACGCAUAACCUAUCCCUGCUUUGUAUUAAAAUUAGCUGCAAGUCAGUUCCAUAAACUCCUGUCUGUGCUUGCGCAGUGCCUUCUGGUGGUGGUUGUCAGGGGGGUUGUGUGGAUGAAAGCUGAUAACUUCUUCAUCACCAGUUGCUGACUCAGCUGCUCCUUGGUUCUUGUCCAAAUCACAAAGUUGGUCUCAGCUGGUUUUAUGAGACAGGUUCCCCAUUUUUGUCAGGAAACUGUCCUCUGUCAGGGGCUUCGACACUCCUUGUUUCGGUUAAUUUGUACAGUAGUAAGCUAAGACACCCAACAUCUAUUUUAAUGCGGUUAAGCAAGCCCCCAUUCUUACAUUCCUGGCUUUAAUAAUGAUUGUUUUAUUUAGAAAUCGUUAAUGUGAUUAAACAAGCCCCCAUUGUUCUAUCCCUGGCUUCAGUGGCACCCUCUGGGUCAGGCUGAUCACCACACAACACAGCUCAGGCGGCUUCUCUGUGCCAAGAUGGCUGUCAGUCACACCCCAAAGCUGGUGUGGUGAAACUGAAAAGAAACCACUCUCUUCAGGUUCCUUCCUAAAAGCGAAAUGUUUAUUAAUUCUCUAAGUUUGCAAAAGAAGACCACAUCCAUCUGAAGCUUGCUUAUGUGGAAGCAGAGCUGGCCAGGCCAAGACAGCUUGAGAGGAGCUUCCCAUGGCCUCAGGGGUGAUGAGCACUGCUUGUUGCAGCUGAGGAGGCUGCAUCAGCAACACCAACCUGGGAAGUGGGGACCUGCCUGGAGCGAUGCGGUGAGGCAUUCUGAAAGGAGCAUUAAUCUUGCCUGGAAGGGCCGACCUGCUGGCAGCCGAUUCAUCAGCAACACUCCCUGGAAGCUGCUGGCCCACACUUUCUGUCAGUGGUGGGUGGCAAGAUUCAGAAAUGUUAAGAGAAGAAUACCUACAGUCUUCAAAUCUGAGCUCCUCUGUAUGCGGACCAUGGGCAGAUGUAACUAAUGCAAGAUCUAUUCUGGAAAAGGGCACAAUAAAUACAGCUGGCAGAAGCAGGAGACAAAACCAUAAAAGACAAGAACAAGCCAUAACUUGAAUGGAUGCAUUAGAAACUGGAAGUUAUGAGGAAGAAAUUCCAAUAUUGUUUUAGCUAUUUUGAGGAUCAGCCAGGAGUUUGAUGGCGGGCAUGCUGGGUAGUUUACUCUUGUUAAAUAUAGCUAAUCCCUUCUAACAGAUUAUCUGUAAAAGCAUUUUUUUUCUCUUUAAUCUUCUGUGAUACACUUAAAAAUAUUAUUUUGAUUGGCCUUUAAUCUCAUGAGUGCCUUUUCCUCAACUACUGAGCGUAUAAUUUAUAUAACCCUGUAACACAGUAUACUGCAGGUAGGCGUUUUAUGGCAUGUUUUAUUUAUAUUUUAUUGUUGAUGUGUGCCAGAAUGGUGUUUCUGUUGCUUCCAGUUUUGCUCAUCAGAGCAGACAAAACAAUGGGGCAAAGUAUCUUGAAAUAACUAUAGGUUAAAUCACAAAGGGGAUUUAAGCAAUGUCUAAAGUCUUUGAAGCCUGCACCUGGUAUAAUCUAUUCAUAACAAGUUCAGAGACUAAAUAAUAUAGGAAGAAGUAUGCUCCAAAAAACAAUUAAUGAAAUACAGUCUGUUAGUGCAAGAAAACCUAAUUUUCCUUUGAAGACUUACACCUUUCACCUCCAAUAAGUCUAUCGAAGUCAAGUAAGAAUUUCGAUGCCACCCCCCAAUCUACUGAAGUCACAGUGAAAAGAUUUUAGUGUUCAUUAUAUAGCCAAAUUAUUACUAGAUGUUCAGUUCACAAUAAAUCUACUUAGGGUGCUUUGUUCUGAUGAACUCAUUUAAAUGUAUUAUAUUAAAAAAUUACAUUUUCAGAAGCUUCUCUAGACAUUUCUUAAUCGGUUGUCAUGGUGAUGUCACUGAUUACAGUUUUUAAUGUCCCAUUUGAAGAUUAUGCACUACUUAAUGAUCCAAAAAGUAGGUCUAAUUUCUUUAAAGAAUAAAAAAUCUUUUCAUGGAGUGAAUUACAGAGGUUAGUCAUAGUAAAAAAAAAAAAAUAAUGAAAAAUACAAAUGAUACAAUGUAAAGGAAGAUUUCCUUACGAUGUACUACACAAAGUACCUUUUUAAUAAAUAUAGCAAUAGAAAAAAAGAGAUGCAAUCACUAAAAAUGUGGAUUUGGGUAACAGUAAAGAAUACCUGAAAUAUCCUUGUGCAAGGAUUGUCUUCAUUUCUCCUUAAAAUUACAAAAUGGUAAUGGUCUGGAGAGCACGUGAAAUUACUUUAUAUUUAAAAAGAAUUUGUUGUGGCAUAUUUCUCAGUUCCUGGCUGGACUGUCACUUUGAUUUAGGUAGCUUUGCAAGCUGCAGGAGAGAUCUAGGUGGAAAUUCAGUUUCAGCUUCACCUGAGCGUGCUCCACAUUUGGGGAAAAAAAUUCUCAUUACCUUUCCAUCCUUAAAGGAUAAAAUGUCACUAGUCAUUGCUCUAAAAAGUUUAAAAGCAUUCCUUUUAUCAACAAUAUUAUAAAUUUCAAUAAAUAUUUUUGUAUAUCUUUUAAAUCUUUUUAGGUGUUGUAGACUGCAAAAUUGCUUCUAUGCAUGUUCUUACUGUCCAUCCAGACAGUCAGAACAAGAUACAUAAACUUCCUGUUACAAUGCUAGUUGCUGUUUUCUCUGAUAAAGGAGAACAUAGUUUUCUAUUUAAAAAACAAUUUUAAUUUAGGUCCAUUUCCAAAACAUUGAGAAAAUUGUGUGGAACCCCUUACUAUUCAUGAACACCCACAGUGUUGAAUGUAUUCUUUGCUGCGUCCACAAGACAUGCCUCAAGCUCGUUUACUUAAGAUAAGUUGAAGAUAAAUUUGUUAAUAGGGAAUACAGGGCAAUUUUAAUUUCAUACUUUUUUCUUUUGAGAGGAUGGUCUUUACAGUUUGCAAAAUGUUUCCUAUAUUAUUUUUUUUCAGAUGUUGCAUUUAAAUUCACAGCUUGAGCUAACAGUUUCUUUUUUAGAAAGAUGUUUGCAGGUCAGGCCUAAUCUCUUGUUACAAAAUCAGUACUCAACUGCAUUGUAGCAGGUUGGAACUCAGCUCUCUCAUCAUACUUGUAUAAUAAAAAUCGUGUUGUUACCUCAUCCAAGCUCCAUGACUUGCAUGUUUGGCAACAUGUUUUGUGUCUAGUGUUUAAAGCUAACCAGGUCUCCAAACAAAUAACUGUCCUGAUAACCUCCAAAAGUUUUAUUAAUGUUUAUCCAUGAUGAGUGCAAGUACUAUGUAAAAUAAAUAAAGAAUAACACCAUAACUGUCUUUUGAGAGAUAUUAGAAGGUAGUCAGAAGAGAAAAACCUAUGAAAGUUGCAUGAGCUGUGUAUUAUUAUGCAUAUGCUACAACAGCCAGAACAUUAAAUAUCUGUAGCUCUAUUGCAGCCACAAAUACUAUGUUUGGCAUGUAAUAAGUCUGGACUGUAGAAAGAAAGUGUUUUUAUUCAGUUAGAGGUUUAAAGAUAAAACCCUUCAGAGCUGAACCUAAUUGUCCUUUGAGGUAUGUGUUAAGGUCAAAGCUGUACUUGAUGGUAAUUAUAGUUACCUUCCCAUGAAAUCUUUGCAAUUGUACUAAAACAGUAUAAAAACUCCUGAGCUUUUACUGUUUUUACUGCAGACAGAAAUAGUGUUCCUUCUUUCUUUACAGUACAUAGUGCUAAUUUAAAAGAUCAUUGUAUUUUAUUCUUUUGGUGGUUAUUACUGCAGUUGAACCGAUAUCAGUAAAAUAAACUUCACAAAAAAAAAAAAAAGGUUAAAAGGAAAUACUAAGAAAUAAU